This 1543-nucleotide ribosomal RNA is filed under the name uncultured bacterium. Its description in RNAcentral is "bacterial SSU rRNA". It matches the Rfam family "Bacterial small subunit ribosomal RNA". The record is from RNAcentral.
UUGAUCCUGGCUCAGAACGAACGCUGGCGGCGCGCCUAAUACAUGCAAGUCGAACGAGAAUGUGUAGCAAUACACAUGUACAGUGGCGAACGGGUGAGGAAUACAUGGGUAACCUACCCUCGAGUGGGGAAUAACUAGCCGAAAGGUUAGCUAAUACCGCGUACGCUUCCGGGACUGCGGUUUCGGAAGGAAAGCGAUACCGUGGGUAUCGCGCUCUUGGAUGGGCUCAUGCCCUAUCAGCUUGUUGGUGAGGUAACGGCUCACCAAGGCUUCGACGGGUAGCUGAUCUGAGAGGAUGAUCAGCCACACUGGCACUGCGACACGGGCCAGACUCCUACGGGAGGCAGCAGUAAGGAAUAUUGCGCAAUGGGCGAAAGCCUGACGCAGCGACGCCGCGUGGGGGAUGAAGGUCUUCGGAUUGUAAACCCCUUUCGGGAGGGAAGAUGGAAUGGGGUAACCCAUUCGGACGGUACCUCCAGAAGCAGCCACGGCUAACUUCGUGCCAGCAGCCGCGGUAAUACGAAGGCGGCAAGCGUUGUUCGGAUUUACUGGGCGUACAGGGAGCGUAGGCGGUUGGAUAAGCCCUCCGUGAAAUCUCCAGGCUUAACCUGGAAAGUGCAGAGGGGACUGUUCAGCUAGAGGAUUGGGAGAGGAGCGCGGAAUUCCCGGUGUAGCGGUGAAAUGCGUAGAGAUCGGGAGGAAAGGCCGGUUGCAAGGCGGCGCUCCUUGGAACAUUUCUGACGCUGAGGCUUCGAAAAGCGUGGGGAGGCAAACAGGAUUAGAUACCCCUUGGUAAUUCCACCGCCCUUAAAACGAUGGAUAACUAAAUUGUCUCGGGCGGGUUUACCGGCCGGUUGCCGCAGUAACGCAAGUUAAUGUAUCCCGCCUGGGAAGUUACGGCCGAAAGGUUUGAAAUUCAAAGGAAUUGACGGGGGCCCGCACAAGCGGUGGAGCAUGUGGUUUAAUUUGACGCAACGCGAAGAACCUACUAGGCUGGACAUGCACGUAGUAGGAGGGUGAAAGCCUAACGAGGUAGCAAUACAGCGUGCUCAGGUGCUGCAUGGCUGUGUCAGCUCGUGCCGUGAGGUGUUGGGUUAAGUCCCGCAACGAGCGCAACCCCUGUCUUCAGUUACCCAACGGGUCAUGCCGGGAACUCUGGAGAGACUGCCCAGGAGAACGGGGAGGAAGGUGGGGAUGACGUCAAGUCAGCAUGGCCUUUAUGCCUAGGGCNUACACACGUGCUACAAUGGCCGGCACAAAGCGCUGCANACCCGCAAGGGGGAGCCGAUCGCAAAAAACCGGCCUCAGUUCAGAUCGAGGUCUGCAACUCGACCUCGUGAAGGCGGAAUCGCUAGUAAUCCCGGAUCAGCACGCCGGGGUGAAUACGUUCCCGGGCCUUGUACACACCGCCCGUCACACCACGAAAGUUUGUUGUACCUGAAGUCGUUGACGCCAACCGCAAGGAGCCNGACGCCCACGGCUAUGACCAGACUGAUUCGCGGGCUGAAGUCGUAACAAGGUAGACCGUAGGGGAACCUGCGGC